GAUCCUGGCUCAGGAUGAACGCUGGCGGCGUGCUUAACACAUGCAAGUCGAACGGAGUUUUAACGGAAGUUUCGGAUGGAAGUUUAAGAACUUAGUGGCGGACGGGUGAGUAACGCGUGGGUAACCUGCCUCAUACAGGGGGAUAACAGUUAGAAAUGACUGCUAACACCGCAUAAUAUAGCGAAACCGCAUGAUUUUGCUAUCAAAUAUUUAUAGGUAUGAGAUGGGCCCGCGUCUGAUUAGCUAGUUGGUGGGGUAAAAGCCUACCAAGGCGACGAUCAGUAGCCGGCUUGAGAGAGUGACCGGCCACAUUGGGACUGCGACACGGCCCAAACUCCUACGGGAGGCAGCAGUGGGGAAUAUUGGACAAUGGGGGAAACCCUGAUCCAGCGAACCGCCGCGUGAGUGAAGAAGUAUUUCGGUAUGUAAAGCUCUAUCAGCAGGGAAGAUAAUGACAGUACCCGACUAAGAAGCCCCGGCUAACUACGUGCCAGCAGCAGC
Molecule: ribosomal RNA, 501 nt
Filed under: uncultured bacterium
Lineage: Bacteria
Description: bacterial SSU rRNA
Rfam family: Bacterial small subunit ribosomal RNA
Source: RNAcentral